CCUACGGGAGGCUGCAGUGAGGAAUAUUGGUCAAUGGGCGGGAGCCUGAACCAGCCAUGCCGCGUGAAGGUCAGUGCCCUAUGGGCGUUAAACUUCUUUUGUGCGGGAGCAAUAAUGGUCACGUGUGGCCAGACGAGAGUACCGUACGAAUAAGCAUCGGCUAACUCCGGGCCAGCAGCCGCGGUAAUACGGGGGAUGCAAGCGUUAUCCGGAUUUAUUGGGUUUAAAGGGUGCGUAGGCUGGGAGGUAAGUCAGCGGUGAAAUGCCCCCGCUCAACGGGGUGAAGUGCCAUUGAUACUGCCGUGCUGGAAUGCGGAUGCCGUGGGAGGAAUGUGUGGUGAAGCGGUGAAAUGCAUAGAUAUCACACAGAACACCGAUUGCGAAGGCAGCUCACGAAUCCGCGAUUGACGCUGAUGCACGAAAGCGUGGGUAUCAAACAGGAUUAGAUACCCCUGUAGUC
RNAcentral lists this ribosomal RNA (460 nucleotides) under uncultured bacterium. Its description in RNAcentral is "partial 16S ribosomal RNA". It matches the Rfam family "Bacterial small subunit ribosomal RNA", at positions 338 to 795 of the family's 1533-position model. The record is from RNAcentral.